GGAAAGGGAAGGGAAGGUUAGGGAAGGGAAGGUUAGGGAAGGGAAGGUUAGGGAAGGGAAGGUUAGGGAAGGGAAUGUAAGGAAAUGGAAGGGAAAGUUAGGGAAGGGAAGGAAAGGGAAGGGAAGGUUAGGGAAGGGAAGGUUAGGGAAGGGAAUGUAAGGAAAUGGAAGGGAAAGUUAGGGAAGGGAAGGAAAGGGAAGGGAAGGUUAGGGAAGGGAAGGUUAGGGAAGGGAAUGUAAGGAAAUGGAAGGGAAAGUUAGGGAAGGGAAGGAAAGGGAAGGGAAGGUUAGGGAAGGGAAGGUUAGGGAAGGGAAUGUAAGGAAAUGGAAGGGAAAGUUAGGGAAGGGAAGGAAAGGGAAGGGAAGGUUAGGGAAGGGAAGGUUAGGGAAGGGAAUGUAAGGAAAUGGAAGGGAAAGUUAGGGAAGGGAAGGAAAGGGAAGGGAAGGUUAGGGAAGGGAAGGAAAGGGAAGGGAAGG
This is a long non-coding RNA of Eriocheir sinensis (Chinese mitten crab), 477 nucleotides long. RefSeq lists it as uncharacterized. The transcript is spliced from 4 exons. Lineage: Eukaryota; Metazoa; Arthropoda; Malacostraca; Decapoda; Varunidae. The record is from RefSeq and is a predicted model, not a curated record.